Molecule: ribosomal RNA, 505 nt
Filed under: uncultured bacterium
Lineage: Bacteria
Description: partial 16S ribosomal RNA
Rfam family: Bacterial small subunit ribosomal RNA
Source: RNAcentral
AGUGAACGCUGGCGGUAGGCCUAACACAUGCAAGUCGAACGGCAGCACAGGAGAGCUUGCUCUCUGGGUGGCGAGUGGCGGACGGGUGAGGAAUACAUCGGAAUCUACUCUGUCGUGGGGGAUAACGUAGGGAAACUUACGCUAAUACCGCAUACGACCUACGGGUGAAAGCAGGGGACCUUCGGGCCUUGCGCGAUUGAAUGAGCCGAUGUCGGAUUAGCUAGUCGGCGGGGUAAAGGCCCACCAAGGCGACGAUCCGUAGCUGGUCUGAGAGGAUGAUCAGCCACACUGGAACUGAGACACGGUCCAGACUCCUACGGGAGGCAGCAGUGGGGAAUAUUGGACAAUGGGCGCAAGCCUGAUCAGCCAUACCGCGUGGGUGAAGAAGGCCUUCGGGUUGUAAAGCCCUUUUGUUGGGAAAGAAAUCCAGCUGGCUAAUACCCGGUUGGGAUGACGGUACCCAAAGAAUAAGCACCGGCUAACUUCGUGCCAGCAGCCGCCGUAC